Solenopsis invicta (red fire ant) is the source of this 1339-nucleotide long non-coding RNA. RefSeq lists it as uncharacterized. The transcript is spliced from 2 exons. Lineage: Eukaryota; Metazoa; Arthropoda; Insecta; Hymenoptera; Formicidae. The record is from RefSeq and is a predicted model, not a curated record.
GCUAUACCACAAAUGAAAAUCUUUAGCUUCCUCAUGCAAUGGUAAUGGCCCCUUUCUCGGGAGGCUCACACGCCAACGAGUGAAAAAUAUUCCUGAAAUGAACUAGCUCCGCGCUAAACAGACGUAUGAUUCUAAUGUAUGAUCUCUCUAACGUAUUUUUUUUCUUCUGAAUGAACCGACUGAUUCGGAUCACAAUAUUAAAUCAAUAAAAAAUAUUUUUCAAUCAAAUAUUUCAUGUAACAUUUGUUUUCACAGGAUUUUUCAGGGAUGAAUGAAUUGUAUGGAGUUAGGAAGUCCAUUCUCCUCUCGCUGUUGCGAAGCGACGAGGUCGGGAAGGAUCUUUGCGGAGAGAAGAUAGACAAUGCAACUGACUGGAAACUGCCAUGCUCAUGCGAACGUCAAACGGCUAGACUGUGACGGAUGUCGAAAAAUCGUAUACUUACGCAUGUAUCGAUGAGACCGUAAAUCGACCGCCGAUAGAAUUGUCCAGAUAAGAGCUAUACGUGCAAUUUAAUUUUUUUAUUACGAUGCCAGGACGGCACCCAAGAUCUAUUAUAAAAAUUGACGAGUAUUCUACGAGUUUACACUUUACAAAUUAACGGCAGAGAAACAAGAGGCGCGGCGAAAAUGAAUACCGAGGGAUUUUCCACAAUUGGACCCUUGCUUACCUUGGUGAUCGGUCCAGCAUUGGUGGAGGACAUUUGCGUACGUUGAAGCGUCGAGGUCGGACUCGGCUUGGACCGGAAGGCCGUCAUAGUCUGGCUAACACCGUCCGCCAGUAUAAAUUGUUCCCGCAGCUCGAUAUUCGUUCUUCCCUUGGCUACAGUGUGUUGCGUGCACGCAGUUAAGGAAAAGGCGUUUCGGGGAUGCAGGGUACGAGAGGAAGUGUGCCAGAGAGAUGUUAUUUUGUACAAGAAAACAGUCCGGAGACAGAAAGAACGGGAACGCGGAUGAGAUGAAAUAACGAACGCGAGAAUGAUAUGUUAGUUUAACGAAAAAAAAAAUAAAUAAAUAAAUAAAAGCGAAAACGAACGUGUAAAUAUCGGAACGGCAACAUCCGGAACGAGAGUCAUGAGUUAUAUGGAGCGAAAGGUGUAACGAUGUAUAUAUAUAUAUAUAUAUAUAUAUUUUUACAGGUUUACAAUAUCAAGGCAUGCGCGUCAAUGAGCAGUGGCAAUAAUGGAUAGGAGAAAUAGUUUUAAGAGAGAAGAGAGAAAAAAAGGCGACAAAAAUAUUUCACGGUAUGCGUGCGUGUAUUUUGAAUACAUGUAUGCAUGAGUGCGUGUGUAUGGUAUAUUCAAGUGUGUGUGGUUGUGUCAUGGAAAAAAAAGAAAAGACA